This 242-nucleotide unclassified non-coding RNA is filed under the name Mortierella sp. RNAcentral describes it as "partial contains 5.8S ribosomal RNA, internal transcribed spacer 2, and large subunit ribosomal RNA". The record is from RNAcentral. RNAcentral also lists the same sequence under 2 other names. Lineage: Eukaryota; Fungi; Mortierellomycota; Mortierellomycetes; Mortierellales; Mortierellaceae.
AACGCACAUUGCGCCCCUUGGUAUUCCGGGGGGCAUGCCUGUUCGAGCGUCAUUUCAACCCUCAAGCACAGCUUGGUCUUGGGCCCUGCCGGCAACGGCUGGCCUUAAAAACAGUGGCGGCGCCAUCGAGCUCUACGCGUAGUAAUUAUACCCUCGCGUGUGAGUCCCGGUGGAUGCUGGCCAGCAACCCCCAAUUUUCUAUGGUUGACCUCGAAUCAGGUAGGGAUACCCGCUGAACUUAA